RNAcentral lists this ribosomal RNA (478 nucleotides) under uncultured organism. RNAcentral describes it as "partial 16S ribosomal RNA". It matches the Rfam family "Bacterial small subunit ribosomal RNA", at positions 329 to 799 of the family's 1533-position model. The record is from RNAcentral.
ACGUACACUCCUGCGGGAGGCAGCAGUAGGGAAUCUUCCACAAUGGGUGCAAACCUGAUGGAGCAAUGCCGCGUGAGUGAAGAAGGUCUUCGGAUCGUAAAGCUCUGUUGUUAGAGAAGAACACGUGCUAGGUAACUACUAGCGCCUUGACGGUAUCUAACCAGAAAGUCACGGCUAACUACGUGCCAGCAGCCGCGGUAAUACGUAGGUGACAAGCGUUGUCCGGAUUUAUUGGGCGUAAAGGGAGCGCAGGCGGUCUGUUUAGUCUAAUGUGAAAGCCCACGGCUUAACCGUGGAACGGCAUUGGAAACUGACAGACUUGAAUGUAGAAGAGGAAAAUGGAAUUCCAAGUGUAGCGGUGGAAUGCGUAGAUAUUUGGAGGAACACCAGUGGCGAAGGCGAUUUUCUGGUCUAACAUUGACGCUGAGGCUCGAAAGCGUGGGGAGCGAACAGGAUUAGAAACCCGAGUAGUCCCAUG